UUACGGCCAUAUCACGUUGAAACCCCGGUUGCCGUAUGAUCAUCGAAGUUAAGCAAUGUCCCGCCUUGUCAGUACCUAGAUGCAUGACCGCUUGAGAAUAUCAUCUGCUGUA
Non-coding RNA from Acanthosepion pharaonis, 112 nucleotides. The record is from the annotation of a GenBank genome assembly. NCBI's taxonomy places the organism in Eukaryota, Metazoa, Mollusca, Cephalopoda, Sepiida, Sepiidae.